AACUAGAGAGUAGAUCCCACUCGCCACAACUAGAGAAAAGCCUGUGCAGCAAAAAGAUCCAGCGCAACCAAAAAUAAAAAAUAAAUAAAUUUGGAAAAAAAAUGCACAACCUGAGGACACAACAGACCAACUCCCAUGGAGGCAUACUUUACAAAACCGCUGGCUAGCACUCAAGAGCAUGAAGGCCACGGCCGAGUAGGAUGAAGGUGCUGUCCCAGCUGGAGAGACUAAGGAAACAUGUGCUACGGUGAUCCUGGAUUGUCUCUGGACCAGAUGGGGAACUUGAUGAAAUCUGAAUGAGACAGGAAUGAGGCUGCGCCCAGGAAGAGAGGCAGUGAGCACGUGGAAACCUGGAAAGGCAUCCAGGCCGAGGAGCUGCAAACCCCAACCCCUCAGGUUGGGAGCAUGCCUGGAUAGUCUACCUCCUGGGAUGUUCACAACAGACUACAGAGCGCAAGAGUGGAGGCAGGGAGACCAUUGAGGAGACUACUGCAAACCAGGCAAGGGCUGAUGCGGGCUUGGAGCAGGGUGAGGGAGACAUGGGGAGAAGCGGUCAGAAUCUGCAUGUGUGUGGAAGGCUUUGCUGAUGGAGUGGGUGCGAGUAUGAGAGAGACAGAGGUCAGGACUGACUCCAAGGUUUUCAGCUUGAACAAUGAUGAAACUGUCAUGAAUUCAAGUGAAGAAGACUAUGGGAGGAGAAAAGAUCGAGGACUUACUAGUUUUCGACCCAUGAGGAGAGAGAUGCCUAUUACACAGCCCAGUAGAGGAGCUGAGUGGACAAUUGAGUAUGUGUCUGGGGGUCGAUUUAUUGUUGCUUAGUUGCUCAGUCAUGUCCGACUCGUUCGCGAGCCCAUGGACUGUAGACAGCCAGGCUCCUCUGU
Long non-coding RNA from Bubalus bubalis (water buffalo), 881 nucleotides. RefSeq lists it as uncharacterized. The transcript has 3 exons. The record is from RefSeq and is a predicted model, not a curated record. Lineage: Eukaryota; Metazoa; Chordata; Mammalia; Artiodactyla; Bovidae.